GAUGAAGAACGUAGUGAAAUGCGAUAAGUAAUGCGAAUUGCAGAAUUCAGUGAGUCAUCGAAUCUUUGAACGCACAUUGCGCCCUGUGGUAUUCCGCAGGGCAUGCCUGUUCGAGCGUCAUUUCAACCCUCAAGCUCUGCUUGGUGUUGGGCCCUGCCCGCUGCGGCCGGCCCUAAAGACAGUGGCGGUGCCGCCUGGCCCUGAGCGUAGUACAUCUCUCGCUCCAGUGCCCGGUGGUAGCCUGCCAGAACCCCAACUCUCGUGGUUGACCUCGGAUCAGGUAGGGAUACCCGCUGAACUUAAGCAUAUCAAUAAGCGGAGGA
This 323-nucleotide unclassified non-coding RNA is filed under the name soil metagenome. RNAcentral's name for it is "partial contains 5.8S ribosomal RNA, internal transcribed spacer 2, and large subunit ribosomal RNA". The stretch from base 1 to 120 matches the Rfam family "5.8S ribosomal RNA", at positions 35 to 154 of the family's 154-position model. The record is from RNAcentral.